GGGUCGUUGGCAGAGCGGAUAUGCAGCCGCCUUUUAAGCGGACUUAUCCAGGUUCAACCCCUGGGCGACCCACCU
RNAcentral lists this transfer RNA (75 nucleotides) under Nostoc sp. PCC 7524. Its description in RNAcentral is "tRNA-Lys". It matches the Rfam family "tRNA". Rfam says of the family: Transfer RNA (tRNA) molecules are approximately 80 nucleotides in length. Lineage: Bacteria; Bacillati; Cyanobacteriota; Cyanophyceae; Nostocales; Nostocaceae. The record is from RNAcentral.